This 475-nucleotide ribosomal RNA is filed under the name uncultured bacterium. Its description in RNAcentral is "bacterial SSU rRNA". It matches the Rfam family "Bacterial small subunit ribosomal RNA", at positions 28 to 515 of the family's 1533-position model. The record is from RNAcentral.
GAUGAACGCUAGCGGCAAGCCUAACACAUGCAAGUCGAACGGUAACUUUUGGUGCUUGCACCGAAAGACGAGUGGCGAACGGGUGCGUAACGCGUAUGCAAUCUGCCUUUUACUAGGGUAUAGCCCAGAGAAAUUUGGAUUAAUCCCCUAUAAUAUCAUUUAAUCGCAUGAUUUUAUGAUUAAAGCUUCGGCGGUAAAAGAUGAGCAUGCGUCCUAUUAGUUAGUAGGUGAGGUAACGGCUCACCUAGACUCCGAUAGGUAGGGGUCCUGAGAGGGAGAUCCCCCACACUGGUACUGAGACACGGACCAGACUCCUACGGGAGGCAGCAGUGGGGAAUUUUCCGCAAUGGGCGAAAGCCUGACGGAGCAACGCCGCGUGAGGGAUGAAGGCCUCUGGGCUGUAAACCUCUUUUAUCAAGGAAGAAGAUCUGACGGUACUUGAUGAAUAAGCCACGGCUAAUUCCGUGCCAAAAGG